RNAcentral lists this ribosomal RNA (253 nucleotides) under uncultured bacterium. RNAcentral's name for it is "partial 16S ribosomal RNA". It matches the Rfam family "Bacterial small subunit ribosomal RNA", at positions 524 to 776 of the family's 1533-position model. The record is from RNAcentral.
UACGAAGGGGGCUAGCGUUGCUCGGAAUCACUGGGCGUAAAGGGUGCGUAGGCGGGUCUUUAAGUCAGGGGUGAAAUCCUGGAGCUCAACUCCAGAACUGCCUUUGAUACUGAGGAUCUUGAGUACGGGAGAGGUGAGUGGAACUGCGAGUGUAGAGGUGAAAUUCGUGGAUAUUCGCAAGAACACCAGUGGCGAAGGCGGCUCACUGGCCCGUAACUGACGCUGAGGCACGAAAGCGUGGGGAGCAAACAGG